Tupaia belangeri chinensis (Chinese tree shrew) is the source of this 3671-nucleotide RNA transcript. It is a transcript of the gene named ArfGAP with FG repeats 1, with no coding region annotated. NCBI's taxonomy places the organism in Eukaryota, Metazoa, Chordata, Mammalia, Scandentia, Tupaiidae. The record is from RefSeq and is a predicted model, not a curated record. The transcript is spliced from 16 exons.
UUCGGGAUGGUGACGGGGUUAAAAGGUCGACGGUGGCCGGGGAUCCCACGGGGAAAGUUGGAGAGGACUGCUUGCGAGAGGGGGAGGCAGAGAAGCAGAUAGGAGGCUGUGAGGUUUUAGUUUUGUAGUCUGUAGAGAGUCUUGAAGUUUGGGGAAAAGUUUUAAUGGAAAUUACGAUCACGGCUAGGAGCUCUGGGAUUCUAAAUAUAAAUAUGGUGGCGGUAUCUAUGGGGCCGAGUUCUGUCGGUCCACGGAGAUGGGAAGACAGCAUUGUUUCAGAAGAACGGAUCCUGUCGUCUGAAAUUACGGCGAUGGCUUGUAUUUGUUCCUUAGCUCAUUAAACUUUAUUUGGGCGAGGUUUAAAUCCACCACACAGGGUGAAAUCUAUCUCCAUGACAACAUUCACACAACAGGAAAUUGAAUUUCUUCAAAAACAUGGAAAUGAAGUCUGUAAACAGAUUUGGCUAGGAUUAUUUGAUGAUAGAUCUUCAGCAAUUCCAGACUUCAGGGAUCCACAAAAAGUGAAAGAGUUUCUACAAGAAAAAUAUGAAAAGAAAAGAUGGUAUGUCCCACCAGAACAAGCCAAAGUAGUGGCAUCAGUUCAUGCGUCUAUUUCAGGGUCCUCUGCCAGUAGCACAAGCAGCACACCCGAGGUCAAACCACUGAAAUCUCUUUUAGGAGAUUCUGCACCAGCACUGCACUUAAAUAAGGGCACGCCUAGUCAGUCCCCAGUUGUAGGUCGCUCUCAGGGGCAGCAGCCGGAAAAGAAGCAGUUUGACCUUUUAAGUGAUCUUGGCUCAGAUAUCUUUGCUGCUCCAGCUCCUCAGUCAACAGCAACGGCCAAUUUUGCUAACUUUGCACAUUUCAACAGUCAUGCAGCUCAGAAUUCUGCAAAUGCAGAUUUUGCAAACUUUGAUGCAUUUGGACAGUCUAGUGGUUCGAGUAAUUUUGGAGGUUUCCCCACAGCAAGUCACUCUCCUUUUCAGCCCCAAACUACAGCAUUUAGAAUGCUUUCAUCUAGCUGCAGUUUUGGUGAAUUUACUUCAGCUUUUCCUCUCCAGGCUGCCCACAGUGGAAGUGCUGGAUCAGUAAAUGCUAAUUUUGCUCAUUUUGAUAACUUCCCCAAAUCCUCCAGUGCUGAUUUUGGAACCUUCAAUACUUCCCAGAGUCAUCAAACAUCAUCAGCUGUUAGUAAAGUUUCAACAAACAAAGCUGGUUUACAGACAACAGACAAAUAUGCUGCACUUGCUAAUUUAGACAAUAUCUUCAGUUCUGGGCAAGGUGGUGAUCAAGGGAGUGGCUUUGGGACCACAGGUAAAGCUCCUGUUGGUUCUGUGGUUUCAGUUCCCAGUCAGUCAAGUGCAUCUUCCGACAAGUAUGCAGCCCUGGCAGAACUAGACAGCGUUUUCAGUUCCGCCGCCACCUCCAGUAACGCAUAUACAUCCACAAGUAAUGCUAGCAGCAAUGUUUUUGGAACAGUGCCAGUGGGUGCUUCUGCACAGACACAGCCUGCGUCUUCAAGUGUGCCUGCUCCAUUUGGAGCUACGCCUUCCACAAACCCAUUUGUUGCUGCUGCUGGUCCUUCCGUGGCAUCUUCUACAAAUCCAUUUCAGACCAAUGCCAGAGGAGCAACAGGCCUUUCUGGAGCAAUGCAUUCUCAAGUGUUUCCUCACGCUCAUUUUGCGGCGACCUUUGGCACUGCGUCCAUGAGCAUGCCCGCAGGGUUCGGCACUCCUGCCCCCUAUAGUCUUCCCACCAGCUUUAGUGGCAGCUUCCAGCAGCCUGCCUUCCCAGCUCAAGCAGCUUUCCCUCAACAAACAGCUUUCUCUCAACAGCCCAAUGGUGCAGGUUUUGCAGCAUUUGGUCAAACAAAGCCAGUGGUAACCCCUUUUGGUCAAGUUGCAGCUGCUGGAGUAUCUAGUAACCCUUUUAUGACUGGUGCACCAACAGGACAAUUUCCAACAGGAAGCUCAUCAACCAAUCCUUUCUUAUAGCCUUAUAUAGACACUUUACUGGAAUGAACUUUUUUUGUGGUCACAUUACAUCUCUCCGCCUCUUGCACUGUUGUCUUGUUUCACUGAUCUUAGCUUUAAACACAAGAGAAGUCUUUAAAAAGCCUGCAUUGUGUAUUAAACACCAGGUAAUAUGUGCAAAAUAGAGGGCUCCAGUAACAACUUUUAACCUGUGAAUUGGCAGAAAAGGGUAGCGGUAUCAUGUAUAUUAAAAAUUGGCUAAUAUUAAGUUAUUGCAGAUACCACAUUCAUCAUGCUGCAGUACUGUACAUAUUUUUCUUAGAAAUUAGCUAUUUGUGCAUAUCAGUAUUUGUAACUCUAACACAUCCUUAUGUGAGAAAUGUUACUGGGGAAAUGGACCAGCCACUUGUAAGGUGCUGUCAUAUAUCUUGGAAUGAAUGACCUAAAAUAAUUUUAACCCUUGCUACUGGAAAGUUACAAAGUCAAAAUUGGAAGGUUUUAUUCAUUCUUGAAUUCUUCCUUUCUAAAGAGCUCUUCUAUUUAUACAUGCCUAAAUUCUUUAAAAUGUAGAGGGAUGACCUGUCUGCAUAAUAAAGCUGAUCAUGUUUUGCUACAGUUUGCAGCCCAUAGCAUAUUAGCAAUUUGGAAGUGAUGACUUGAAGGGAAGGAGACGAAAAAACUAUGAAGAGCAUACACUGUCCAAGACCAUUUAGCAUAGGGACAGUCAGCCCAACAUGGAGGACAUCAUUCUAUUGAAUUAUCUUCUGAGAAUUGUCUAUUAUUAGGACUCUGUGUCAUCAAGGAAAGGUGAAAUUGCAUAUACGACUCUGUAUUACAUGUUUGAAAAAUUUUGUCUUAAAACGAUUAAAAAUUUUUAAAAAUCAUUGGUAUUAAAAGAGGCAAACAUCAGUUUCCUCAAACAGUUUGUUCAUGUGGAAUGCCUUUGCAAUGAUGACUACAUGAGUUGUUACUGUAGUAUUUAAAAAUCCGAAUAGUGUUUUAGACUUGUUAAAGCAUUGCUAUCCAGUAACAGCUAGCUGGAAAGUGUGGUUUAUCUGAGCCAUUUUGAAAGUAAGGUGACUGGGACAUCUCUGCCAUCCUUCUGAGUGGUAUGCCUCCUCCCUCAGAAUUAAAUGAAUUCUGCACAGGUCUGGGUAUGUUGGUCUGGAUUCAUUCAAAGUGUCUAUAUUUUGGGGGAUUCCCUCAAACCUUUUUCUAUGGAGAGAAAACUAAAAGUGUCUGAAUAUCUGUUUUAGACUUGUUUAGGUCCCAAUCAAUUCUAUGUACAAGUUAUACUAGAGGUACCAGAUCAUUAUUCAAAUAACCUACCAGGCCUUCCAUUUGAGAAGCAAAUUAAACAGCUGUUAUCAAAAUAAUUUUAAGGACUUUUUUUCCUGGAAAAAUUUGUAAUUAAGUGGAAAGUUAUAUUGAUUCAUUUAAAAUGAUUACUUAUAAAAUCAAAAUGUUUAGUUUCAAAAGGGAUCCGGGUUUAAAGUGAAUUUUCUCAUCUUAACUGUUUUAAAGUUUAAAAAACUAAUUUCUGUUAGAUAAUUAUAUUUGGAUUUGGUUUAUAUUGAUCAUCAGAAUUGUAUUAAGUACUAAAAAAAGAUAAAAAUCUUUGCAAAUGACAAGACUGAAGAUCUUCAAAUUUCCUGGGCUGCUUGUUGAAUCAGAUCUUUCCUGUAGAGUCUUUGUUCA